Molecule: ribosomal RNA, 460 nt
Filed under: uncultured bacterium
Lineage: Bacteria
Description: partial 16S ribosomal RNA
Rfam family: Bacterial small subunit ribosomal RNA
Source: RNAcentral
CCUACGGGGGGCAGCAGUGAGGAAUAUUGGUCAAUGGACGAGAGUCUGAACCAGCCAAGUAGCGUGAAGGAUGACUGCCCUAUGGGUUGUAAACUUCUUUUAUAUGGGAAUAAAAUGUUCCACGUGUGGGAUUUUGUAUGUACCAUAUGAAUAAGGAUCGGCUAACUCCGUGCCAGCAGCCGCGGUAAUACGGAGGAUCCGAGCGUUAUCCGGAUUUAUUGGGUUUAAAGGGAGCGUAGGUGGGUUGUUAAGUCAGUUGUGAAAGUUUGCGGCUCAACCGUAAAAUUGCAGUUGAAACUGACAGUCUUGAGUACAGUAGAGGUGGGCGGAAUUCGUGGUGUAGCGGUGAAAUGCUUAGAUAUCACGAAGAACUCCGAUUGCGAAGGCAGUUCACUGGACUGCAACUGACACUGAGGCUCGAAAGUGUGAGUAUCAAACAGGAUUAGAUACCCCUGUAGUC